Long non-coding RNA from Stegodyphus dumicola, 450 nucleotides. RefSeq lists it as uncharacterized. The record is from RefSeq and is a predicted model, not a curated record. NCBI's taxonomy places the organism in Eukaryota, Metazoa, Arthropoda, Arachnida, Araneae, Eresidae.
UGUUAUACGUGUUUUGAAAGCGUAAACAUCCUGUAAGCGCACAAGGCGAGACUUGUGAAACUUUCACUUGAUCAUUACAUUUCGAAGCGGUGAGGUUGGUGCUAUCAUCCUCCAUAAGGAUUACAAUGGAAGCUCGUAAUGAACGCAAACGUAGAUGUGUUGACACGUUGGGGGAUGUGCAGCCGUCGGAAGAUCUUAUUUUAAACCUUGCUCCCGAGGAAGGCGAAACCUCCCGCAAAAAACUCAAAAAAAUUAAAAUAUACAUUGGAAAAAAUGUUUCAAUAGAAACUUGUGACUUCAAAAAUGUCAAUUAUGUUUCAUUUGUAAGGGUGUAUCCCGAAACCGCCGCCACCCCCAAAAGAUUUAAUAUAAAUAUGAAUUGUAUUGAUCGUAUAAUCGAAGCUUUGGGGGUGAUUAAGAGUCACUGUAUGUAAAAUUAAAAAAAAAAAA